GUGCCAGCCGCCGCGGUAAUACAGAGGGGGCGAGCGUUAUUCGGAAUUAUUGGGCGUAAAGGGCGCGUAGGCGGCCCAGCAAGUCUUGGGUGAAAUCCCUCGGCUCAACCGAGGAACUGCCCCGGAAACUGCUGGGCUUGAGGCCGGGAGAGGGUGGUGGAAUUCCCAGUGUAGCGGUGAAAUGCGUAGAUAUUGGGAGGAACACCAGUGGCGAAGGCGGCCACCUGGACCGGUUCUGACGCUGAGGCGCGAAAGCGUGGGGAGCAAACAGGAUUAGAUACCCUAGUAGUCC
RNAcentral lists this ribosomal RNA (292 nucleotides) under uncultured bacterium. RNAcentral's name for it is "partial 16S ribosomal RNA". It matches the Rfam family "Bacterial small subunit ribosomal RNA", at positions 505 to 796 of the family's 1533-position model. The record is from RNAcentral.